GACGAACGCUGGCGGCGUGCCUAAUACAUGCAAGUCGAACGAGAGCGCCCGGUGCUUGCACUGGUCAAUCUAGUGGCGAACGGGUGAGUAACACGUGGGUAACCUGCCCAUCAGAGGGGGAUAACAUCCGGAAACGGAUGCUAAAACCGCAUAGGUCUUCGAACCGCAUGGUUUGAAGAGGAAAAGAGGCGCAAGCUUCUGCUGAUGGAUGGACCCGCGGUGCAUUAGCUAGUUGGUGAGGUAACGGCUCACCAAGGCCGUGAUGCAUAGCCGACCUGAGAGGGUGAUCGGCCACAUUGGGACUGAGACACGGCCCAAACUCCUACGGGAGGCAGCAGCAGGGAAUCUUCCGCAAUGGACGCAAGUCUGACGGAGCAACGCCGCGUGAGUGAAGAAGGUUUUCGGAUCGUAAAACUCUGUUGUUAGAGAAGAACAAGUGCUAGAGUAACUGUUAGCGCCUUGACGGUAUCUAACCAGAAAGCCACGGCUAACUACGUG
RNAcentral lists this ribosomal RNA (498 nucleotides) under uncultured bacterium. RNAcentral describes it as "partial 16S ribosomal RNA". It matches the Rfam family "Bacterial small subunit ribosomal RNA", at positions 28 to 507 of the family's 1533-position model. The record is from RNAcentral.